GAUGAACGCUGGCGGCGUGCCUAAUACAUGCCAGUCGAGCGAACAGAUGAGGAGCUUGCUCCUCUGACGUUAGCGGCGGACGGGUGAGUAACACGUGGAUAACCUACCUAUAAGACUGGGAUAACUUCGGGAAACCGGAGCUAAUACCGGAUAAUAUAUUGAACCGCAUGGUUCAAUAGUGAAAGACGGUUUUGCUGUCCCUUAUAGAUGGAUCCGCGCCGCAUUAGCUAGUUGGUAAGGUAACGGCUUACCAAGGCAACGAUGCGUAGCCGACCUGAGAGGGUGAUCGGCCACACUGGAACUGAGACACGGUCCAGACUCCUACGGGAGGCAGCAGUAGGGAAUCUUCCGCAAUGGGCGAAAGCCUGACGGAGCAACGCCGCGUGAGUGAUGAAGGUCUUCGGAUCGUAAAACUCUGUUAUUAGGGAUGAACAAAUGUGUAAGUAACUAUGCACGUCUUGACGGUACCUAAUCAGAAAGCCACGGCUAACUACGUG
This 497-nucleotide ribosomal RNA is filed under the name uncultured bacterium. RNAcentral describes it as "partial 16S ribosomal RNA". It matches the Rfam family "Bacterial small subunit ribosomal RNA", at positions 28 to 507 of the family's 1533-position model. The record is from RNAcentral.